This 253-nucleotide ribosomal RNA is filed under the name uncultured bacterium. Its description in RNAcentral is "partial 16S ribosomal RNA". It matches the Rfam family "Bacterial small subunit ribosomal RNA", at positions 524 to 776 of the family's 1533-position model. The record is from RNAcentral.
UACGUAGGGGGCAAGCGUUGUCCGGAAUCAUUGGGCGUAAAGAGCGUGUAGGCGGUCCGCUAAGUCUGAUGUGAAAGCCCGGGGCUCACCCCCGGAAGUGCAUUGGAAACUGGCGGACUCGAGUCCCGGAGAGGAGAGUGGAAUUCCUGGUGUAGCGGUGAAAUGCGUAGAUAUCAGGAGGAACACCGGUGGCGAAGGCGGCUCUCUGGACGGUGACUGACGCUGAGACGCGAAAGCGUGGGGAGCAAACAGG